Molecule: non-coding RNA, 125 nt
Organism: Brachypodium distachyon (stiff brome)
Lineage: Eukaryota; Viridiplantae; Streptophyta; Magnoliopsida; Poales; Poaceae
Source: Rfam
CUACUACUCCCUCUGAUCCUAAAUUGUUGUCGAAAUAUUACAUGUAUCUAGACGCCUUUUAAGAGUAGAUACAUCCAUAUUUGGGCAAAUUUGAGACAAGAAUUUAGGAUCGGAGGGAGUAGCUU